This is a long non-coding RNA of Drosophila yakuba, 4798 nucleotides long. RefSeq lists it as uncharacterized. NCBI's taxonomy places the organism in Eukaryota, Metazoa, Arthropoda, Insecta, Diptera, Drosophilidae. The transcript is spliced from 2 exons. The record is from RefSeq and is a predicted model, not a curated record.
GAAAAAUGGGAAUAUUAAGAUGCUGUAGUAAGUGGAGCACAACUAUUGGAUUCAUCUUCAAUAGGAAACUUAUAACCCAAGUUCAACUUUACUUUCUGCGAAAUAUUAGUGCACACAGGACUCAGAUUUGUUGCAGUGCAGGACCGUUGAAAGGCGACCGCUUGGCCAGCAAUAACAGUUAGAGAGGCGGCCCACAAUUGUUUACAAAUAAGGCGGUCUCCGGCUCCAGCUUCAGUUACCACCCCUCUGCACUUCCCCCCCACCAACAGCUGUCAUAUUUUUGAACUGGUUGGCCGCCAGUGCAUUGAACUGCAAGGCAAACAGGUAACAAAACUUGGCCCCGGCACAGUGGUACCCACUUGCAGUGGACUUUAGCAUUCUAAAAAUCAAGUAAAAGCCUGGUAACUCAAGCAAUUGUGGGCGAUCUCGAAGGCUGAGAACUGAGAACAUAACAUUCAAUCUAAGAAAACAAAUAUAUGUCGAUAAGAAAUCAUAAAAAGUAAUAAACACAGACAGCUACUACAUAAGAUGCAAAAAAUAUGGUUUUUCAAAUGUAAAGUACUUUACUUGCAAUGAUUUAUGCACAACAUUGUGUGUUUUCUAGCUUCCUACAUAUGUUUAAUAUCUCAUAACAUUUCCAUGUGCUGUCUAUUUAAUUUAGCUUAAGGUUGUAAAAUUUCCACUGUACUGGGCUUGUUUUACCAAUUAUUCGAACACAACCACUGUGCUACGCGCUUUUGGCGAAACGAACACGAAGAUCAAUAGAUCAAGUGCAACCAUUUGGAGUGCGCGAGAAGCAAUUGCUAAAUGGUUACAUCUCGCGUUGGACAGCGGCAUUUUUCCAGCUAAGAGGUGGCUUUGGAUGGCGAUUGUGAUUGGGAUUGGGAUUGGGUAUGGGGUUUUGGAAUGCACAACUGCAAGAACAGAGAUCGUAGAAUGCCGCCGUGCUUGGGCUUGAGAAGGAAUGCCGCCAACCAACCGACCAGACGUCGCCAAAGAGCCGGGCGAGAAAAGAGAUCACUGCCCACAGUGCGGCCGUCUAAUGGUCACUUGCGGCUGUUUAGCGGCCUUAGGAUAUAAAUUGAAUGCGGAGCUGCGCAGAGCAAGUACACUCGAAGAAAAGAGUGCUUCUAAGCUUAGCAGUAACGUUUGGCAAACAGCAAUACAACAUGCACAAAUCCCAUUAAAUACACAAAAAGCGCAUCAAUAAGUAUAAUUUAGCUGCAUUAGGUACUUCUAGGUGCUUUGGUACUUGUAGGUAUUUUUAAGCCUAAACAGAUUUUAUAUGCAUUUCAAAAAGAUUUCUUCCAGUGCAGAUACUGCAUCGUCAGCCAGAUCGCCCAAUAUCAAUCAUUUGGAUUGCAGCUGCCGCAAGGCGCGUGGCACAUCGGCCCCCGUGCCGUUGUAACUCAGGUAAAUAUGUAUCUCAACAUUUAUAUAUAUAUAUGUAUAUUAUUCGCUCAGGUGUAACUCGAGCUCCACGCGAUGCUUGUGCGUCUUAAGCGGUACGUGAUGAGGUAAUAAACACGCCAACUUAAGCGAAAAACGCAGCUCAGCCAUCGGCAAACAUCAGCGCCCUUCCCAAACAUUCAAAGUGGAACCCUAGAAAGCAGCUGUCAAUAUCUUUGGGGUUUGGCUAAGUGAAAAGGUGUAUUUUAGGUGUUGGCAGAUGCAGAUGCAAAUAUUAUACGGCUUCCGUGGUUGCCACGCGCUUGAAUUACUGCCUUCGAUUAAGUGAUAAUUAAUUGAUCUGUCGAGAUACCUGUACUACCAACUAAAUUGAAAAGUUAAGAGAAGCAUGCUCUUCUUAAGUAUUCAUAUUUUAUAUAUCUCACAUAAUACCCAUUUUAAUACAAUGGAAAUGUAGGAGUAUUACUUUUACAAAGCUUACUUUUUCAGUUUAUCCCCGACUUCUAUUAUUUGAACCUUAUCUACUACUUGUUUUGUACCUAUUGGCCUUAAAGUAUUAAUAACUUUUCAAGGAACUGGCCUUUAUUGACUUUUAUAGAAUGGUUGGUAAGGUUACGUUAGCUGAAAACGUGUCAAUAUAGAAAGACUCGCAAAUACGCUUAAGUUUAUAGUCCCAUAUAACUCGCAAAGUGCAUUUAGAACCCAAGAUUAUAACCCAGGGCUCUCAGCGCCUUAAAAUCCCCUUUAUCACUCAAUGGGUGGAUCUCAAGUGUUUGGUGGAGCAUUUCAAAGCCUUUCAGUAAGGCGUUACCGGAAAUCGUAUAACCAACACUCCGCGACACUAAUUCAUUCGAAUAUCCAUGUGAAAAUGACACGACAAAAGCCGGGGAAUGCCAAUGGAAAAAUGCAAAAAUAAAAAGAAAUAAAAAAUCAAAAGCAAAAAACAUUUUGCUGGCACUGGCAUGUCGUGUGUAAAUCUCGCCUAGACUUAACGGCUGCGAAAAUUAAUUACCGCUGAUUGUGCUCGUCACAGUGUGAAGUGCUUUGCAAGUUGAGUACAGCUGCACCUGCUAUCAGUCCGCCAAAGAAUAAUCAAUUAAUCAUAAAUGCGCAAUUUGUACAAAAGACAUUUUAUGCUCCACCAGGUUCUGGAAACUAAGUUGCCAACCGCUUUAUCACUUUGAAUACAAAUUAUACGUAAGAUAUCGCAAAGAUAAAUAAUUUACUAUCAAUUAUUAAGGCCUUUGCACUUAGGCAUAAAGAGAACAUUGAUUACAUUUUCAUAGAAAAUAACCAUUGUAUUUAUUAACUAACUUUUUUUUAUAUAUUUUAGAAGCCAAGCAAACCGCAACUAAACCGCAUAAACAAGUGUGGCAAAUUCCCAAACGUUCUGUUAAUUUCAGCACGAUUCCUACGUGCACUGUAAAAUAUGCCACACAUAGAAAUGUUCAACAACUUCAAAGAUACAACGUUUCUGCAUUCUUCUAUUCUUCAAUGGCUUUAAAAACUAUUCUUCAUACUUUUAUUCUUCAAUGGCUUUAGAAACUAUUAAAUUUUUUUUUCGUGUCUGACAAGUUCAAUGCGCUGUUUUUUUUUUCAUUUCAGAGUAGGACCAACCACACACCGCCCAGUGGGCGAUAAGCAACGGCCUUGUCAAUUAGCAUUGGCUUUCGAAAAGCACCUCAUAGCCCGUACCCCGCACUCCGCUCCCCAUCUUCGCACUCAUCAUCAGCCGCCUCACCUGAUUUUAUCAUUCGUUUCACCUGGCGGCAGCGAAAUUCCGCUUAGGUGUGAAAAAAGGGGCGAUACACAUGUACCGCUUUUCUUUCUGUUGUAUGUUUUCUUUUUUGUAUUUUUUUAUUACUAUUUCAACUCUCGGUUCUAGUUGCAAUCUUGUGCGCUGUUUUGGUUUGUUUGCCAAGUUGUUUAAUUUGUAUUUGUCAUUAUUCUUUGCCAUUCGCUAUCUCAACGGGGCGCGUGCGUGCAAAUAUGCCAAAUUCGCACAUGGCAAUGGUCGGAUGUUUGCCCACAUGAUCGUCAUAUGGGGUAUCUGCUGUACCUGCUCAAAGCCAUCCAGCUCUUCUUAGAAAUUCUUAGCAUUUUUACCUCUAGAGAUCAAUAACUCUUGUGAUUAUAAAAGUAAACACAAAAGUUUAUAAAAAUGUCAUUUGCAUGCUCCAUUUGCGACAGGCCACAACACAAAAUACACCGCUUAGGCGACCCCUCCGAAAAAUAAUACCAAGAUAUAAAACUGUGUACUGGCAAUGUAGGAACUUGGCUCACAAAGGAAAAAAGGUUUCUGCUGGAAGGCAAGCGAACGAAAGCGAAAACACAACGCAAUAUUAUUUUAAUGCAGUCUAUAUCAAAUUUCGGCCAGUUGCAUGGAACCAAAUGCACUGAGAUGCACAAGAUAUGGUAAAAAAAUAAAUAAAAAUGUAAAACUGCAGCAAAUAACAGGGUUACAUCUUGUACCUUCCAGCUUAAAUAGGGAUUAUCAUUAAAGAUAAAUAUAACAUGUGUAGUUGCAUUUCUCUCAGUGUGCCUACAUGCCGCUCCAUUUUUCCUGUUCAUGACAGAAAAUUACGCGACGGUUACCAACCAACGAAGUUGCCUCGUCACUCGUCAUGGGACACGGGCAAAAGACUCGAGGAGUCCCAUAUCCAUGCCCAUUCCAUUCCCGAUUCCAUGCCCAUUCCACUCUCGAUUCCAAUCCCAUUCCCAUUCCCAUUUUCCAGAGCACACAGACCGUUCCCGUCAACAGGCGACUGGCAGUAAUCCGAUCUUGCAGUCGUGUCAAGUGUGCUGCAGUCCAGAUACAAGGAGCAUGCACUCACUCACCAGCACAUCUGCACAGCAACUACACCGCACAGAUACAGAUACAGAUACAGAUACAAAUACAGAUACAGAUACUAUAGAGUACUACCAGUUCUUUGGCAAUUGCCCAUCUUAACCACAGAAAUCAUAAAAAGCAUUGUUCGAAUGCGUAGUUUAGAUGUGUUCGGGCGGAUUGCCACAAUUAAAAUGCGGUCUGCGAUUAGAGAUAGUUUACGUUGCGGCAACUUCGAGGGUCAUUCGGUGGCUUUCGACUUGCGGGUCUUCAAAGUGAGCUCCAUACUUCUAUUUUAUUCGAAGGAAGCCUUAUCGCAAUCGCUUUAACACGAAUGAUGGCCAACCUCAGGUGGUUUACUAGAGAUUAGCACUCAAGUUGGUAAAGCACCAAAACCACCUUGUUGUACUUAUCUCGUACCAAAAUAAAUCGCUACGUGCAAUCUUAAGUUGAUUCUGAUUACAGAUUGUAAUAUUCCUAUAGUGUAUAUUGUAAAAUGGAAUUAAUUUGUAUUAUCAGCAAUUCUAACCAGACUAAAUGGAAUAAACAUAAUACUAUCUA